RNAcentral lists this transfer RNA (86 nucleotides) under Candidatus Nomurabacteria bacterium. RNAcentral's name for it is "tRNA-Tyr". It matches the Rfam family "tRNA". From Rfam's summary of the family: Transfer RNA (tRNA) molecules are approximately 80 nucleotides in length. Their secondary structure includes four short double-helical elements and three loops (D, anti-codon, and T loops). The record is from RNAcentral. Lineage: Bacteria; Candidatus Nomuraibacteriota.
GCUGGGGUCGCGUAGUGGUUAAUCGCACGAGACUGUAAAUCUCGCACCGUCAGGUUUCGCUGGUUCGAAUCCAGCCCCCAGCACCA